Molecule: long non-coding RNA, 7783 nt
Organism: Gallus gallus (chicken)
Lineage: Eukaryota; Metazoa; Chordata; Aves; Galliformes; Phasianidae
Exons: 2
Source: RefSeq, a predicted model, not a curated record
AUUUGUCUUGAAAGAAAACAAACAACAUCUAUUAAGUUAAAAAAUCAAUUAUGUCAAUAUCUUCCGAAACAAAAACUUCUCUAUGGAUACAAAAAUGAAGGGUGCUAAUACAAGAAAGGAAAAAAAGGCUAGAGUGAUUUGACCAGAAAGAUGUAGCUUUUACAUGUGCCUUUUACAUUGCUACUGCUGCUUAUGAUCAGAAUCUGAAUGGUUCUAAGGAUCAAUGAAAGGCAAUACAGUUUUUCUUUUUUAGCUAUACAGAAUGAUAGACCAACUGUUUGCAUCAAACGGGCAUUUCACUUCAGCAAUUUGGCUUUUGUUUUUUUGUCUGUAUAUGUACCAUAUAUAUAGUAUUAUUUUGGUAAUACAUUUCAGCUGACAUCUUACUGUGCAUGCGAACCAAAGAAUGCAUCACUAAUUUUUGGGCAAAGCCUUAUUGACACCAAGGGUCCUUCAUUUUCUAGUGAAGUAUGGUGAGCACUGCAGUCUCCUAUCAGUACUUUUGUUCCCAAAACAGGAAUACAGACUUUUUAAAAUAGUGGAGAGAAAUUGAGUAAAUCAAAUUCUGCUCAGUCAUGCAAAAUUUUGGGCAUUAACCUUGAUCCAAAGACUUCCUAUUCAUCUGGUUAUAUUCAGAAGAUGAUUAACAAGUGAGAAAAUAUUACAGAAGCUUCUCAUGUAGUCUUGGAGUAGACGCUUUUGCAAGACCCAGCAUAUACUGGUCCUCACUGGUCCAUGUCACCAGUCAGCGAAGUGUUUUCAUAACUCAAAAGUAACCAGUUGGAUUUUCAUACACUGUUUUCAAUUUCUACCUAUUUCCAGGUGGUAACUGUCCAUGUGACAACAAGAACUGAUUCAGUUGAAUUGAGCAGAAGCCACACUCUCUUGGGAUGAGGGGCCUGUUAAAAUGUGCUCCCCCAGGAAGGCUGAAACCCAUUGUGAGUGAGGAGCUGCAAAGCUGGCCAUAUUCUAGGUUAGAGGACGUCAGGUUCAACACCUUUAAUCUGGCACCACUCAUUAGUGGCAAACACAUUUUAAAACAUAAAGGUUAUUUUUGUAGGAGUACUCAGAGGAAACUGGGAGCUGUUUUGAAAGAAUCAGUUCUAGUGUCUGCAGACAGCACUACAUACGAGUUUUACAUUUGCUUCUGUAGAAAAUGUCCAAUGUCAGUGCACGGAGAUAUGUUAAUUGUUUAUUUUUAGAAGCCUCUCUAGAAAGUUUUGCAUAUUCUGUAAUAUCACAAAGGACUUCUUCUGUUUACAGUUGCUUAGAACUAAGAAGAUAGAUAUUUACCCAAGUUUUCUUGGCUUCCUCUUGCUCCCUUGAUAUUCUAGAGUUCCCUGUGGAGAGGGCCAAGAACACACAGUCAAAGCAAAGCAGCAAGUCGUUAAUUUUUAAUUCAAAGUGAUUUUGUGUUGAAUGCAAGCAGAUGCUGAUAAUAUCAGAAGUCACAGCAUAAUUUUUUUGAUCAAAGGGCUCAAGUGAGCCUGAUGAAGCAUGCAUCUUGCUCGUCUUUGAUAAACCACAUCAAUUAUUCACCGUGAAGGCAGACAUCCUGACAUGAAAGCAACAGAUAAAGAGCAUAAGCACAUGUUCGAGACGAGAGCAGAAGAACGUGGGGGUGGGGCUGGAGGGGCUGAAACAGGUAUUAAUAACAGAAUUAUUAACUGGAAACAAAGCCAGUAAAACAGCUUUAUUGCCACUUUGAACUCACAUUUAACUGGUUAUAGUACAUGUUGUCCUCAGGGCUAUUCAGCAUUUUGGGCUGCUGACAUCGUCGACGAGGUGUUCUCAGCUUCUGUUCAAGACAGUUUUCUGAACCUACAGUAAGAUAAUACAAUUUAGUUUUAAGCUGUGCCAGGUGCUGUGAACGUCUUAGGGUCUUUUUAGGUAUUUUAGUCAGCAAACAGUCUUUUCUUCUGUCCCCUUUGGUCCUGGAUCUAUUAGUAAGUCUAUCCUAUUCAAAGUAAGCACAAGAAACAUGGGAAAUCUUUGUUUUCUGUUUUGAAACUUAGUUCAAACACAAGUUUUUAAGCAUAGCUUCACUUUUACUUUUAAAACCUUUUUUUUUUUUUUAUGCUUCCCUUUGUAUAAAUCACACAGCUUCGUACUCCUUUCACUCUUUAUCUGAGUAUCUUCUGCUAUCUAAGCAGGAAAUGAGGAUACCGUGACCAGCCAGGAUACAUCGUUCAGCAGCAGCAAAGACGUUUUUCUACAGUAGGAGGACGACAGACAAUAUGGUGCACUGUACUAUAUUUCACCAGGAGUUUCUGUGGCACAUCCUCCAGAUUACCAGAACAAGUGCUUUCAGGACGAAACAGAAGCACUAUUUACUGAAAGACAGAGUGGUGGGUAAAGAAAGGUCGUUCAUUUUCCACAUAGUUCUCUCAAUAUCUUUGACUUUUCUGACAUCUCCCUGCUAAAAAUUAUUUUAAUGACAGUGUGAACAGAGAGUUUUUGGUGGCACAUUUGCACUCCAUACUGCAUGGGAAAUGUGCUCUGACACAAAGGAGCAGCACAAAGAUCAAGCAGUGCAGGAGCUUCUUUAGACGUUUCAAACCUGAAUUCAGCCUGCCUUGUGCAGAUGUAGGGCUCUCAUCUCACAAAUCCAUGUUUAAGAUCUGGUGUUAACAAGCAGGUAAACAAAGAAGGCCCAUCAUAUACUCAGGCUCACAGUCUGCAAAUAAUGCAUUUUUCUGCAGUUUCUGAGGGAGGUACAGGAGGUGGUCGAACCUUGGCCCUUGUAGCCAAAGGACGGACUGUAUUUUCUUUCACCAUCUUUUUUCCUUCUCCACAGUAAAAUCUCUAAGAUAUAGCUUCCUCUCAGUAUGGAACUGUGGUGCUUGUGUGGGAGAAGAUCGCUUGUUCUGAGCCCACCAUCAUCUUCCCUCACAAUGCCUGGGACUGGUGAGAUAAAAAGCACUGGGGAUCUGACUGCAGAGCUGGGUCUCAAAUUAAAAAUGAUUUUAUAGAGAAGGGUUACCCUUCUUCAGUAAUACAGAAUAAAUUUUAACUAAUAUGUUUGUACCGCUUGCUAAUUAUGAUGCCCAAACCUUCAUUGAUUUGUACUUUUCGAGUUCAGUAAACUUUCAUAUUCUGUCUCAAGAGAUUGUGACAGCUGACCCUGCUACUUCUGUUGUAUAAAACCAGACAAGGCAGAAGCUGCUCCAGAAAAUGCUGCUUGAAGAGUUGAGGAACUUGGGUUCCCAAGUGCUAUUCAUGUCUUUGGAAAGUUUUUUUUUCUGUUACAUUUAGAUAGCAGAUAAUGGUAAUUUUGUUCUCUCUGAAAUCUCCAACAGUUUUGCCAAAGGCUUGCUGCAGCCAUGUUCUAUUCUCUGUUUGCUGUGAAAGUUAUUCAAAUUGACCUUAGAGCCUUCUGCCACAUCAGGUCAGUAGGGGCUACAAUCUUUUUGAGCAAUGUGUUCAAUUGCAAGGCCAUACAAAUUCCUUUUUUUCAGCAAUGUAGUUCUUGAAUAACUCUCCAAAAAUUACUUUUUUUAGUCUAUCAAGAGGCCAGUAUGAAAAAAUCCCCAGGCCUCACAGUUCUUCAUACUUUCACACAUCUCUCUGCAGCUUGCCAAAAGUAAGCAUACGCCACAUAAAUAUUUGUAAGUUUUCAAACAGUACUGCAACAUGAUGGGGGGGUGCUUUUGUUCUUUCCCCCAAGAUGCUGUUGUGGCCUUCAUGUUAUUUUUCAAAACAUCUGUAUGGUCUUCAUUUUUAAAAUGUCUUUUAUUCAUUAGGAUUCUGAAACACUAAUAUUUUGUUCUAGCUUUUUAUAUUGAUGCUUAAUUAUUUCUGUGUAUUCCAUGGGUGGUCUGCAGCUUGUGUCCUCCAAAGGAAAUACCCUUUCAGUGGGCCCAUUUGUCUUAGUGUUUAGCAGCAUACUACACGAACAGUAAAAAAUCUGGUAACAUUUAUCAUAAACUACCAUAUCUGGAGAAAACUGUAUUAACAUGUGCUCAACACUCAGCAGUUGAAUAGGCAGUUUAAAUGGUGUUCUAUAACGUUUUGCUUUGAUGGCAAACUUAAAGCGUCCAAUAGGAAAAGCUAAGAGUAGCAGCACCAACAUCAUUAACAGGGCACUGUUUGUGUUGCACCCCAAUUGCGCCAAGAGCCCAGCAUGCCCAGACUCCCAAGUUUCCUACAGAUUCAGAGACUGGAUAAGAGAUUGCACACAUGCACUUCCUUCAGGCUGUCCUUUAGCACCAGUCUGAAGUAAGGUAACUGCCUCCCUUUUGUCCAGAAGAAAACUUUUCUUCCAAUGAGCAGAAAAUCCUCAUGUUGCAAUUUCCCAGUUUCAAUUAGUAAAUCCUUCAUGACAGUGCAUAAAUAACAGAGUGGGUAAACCUCCUCUUGACAAGUGUGCUAUGUCAGCUGAUCCAGACAGCAUAGGGCAGAGUGAGAUUCUGAGUGUCCUCCUUUCCUUGCUUGAACCUACAGAGGCAGACACACGUGGGUGAACAUCCCUAAAUCAUAGAAUCAUAGAAUGGCUUGGGUUGGAAGGGACCUCAAAGAUCAUGUAGUUUGAACUCCCCUGCCAUGGGCAGGGCUGCCAACCACUAGAUCAGGCUGCCCAGGAACCCAUCAAGCCUGGCCUCGAACACCUCCAGGGAUGGGACACUCACAGCUUCUCUGGGCAGCCUGUACCAGUGCCUCACCACCCACUAAGUGAAGAAUUUCUUCCUAAAUCUAACUUAAAGUUGCUCACAGUGAUGGGAAUUAGAAACUGGCAAAUGGGUAAAUUUGACUACAGAGUACUUACUUAAAACUAAACAAUCCAAUGGGGUUUCUAUUUAAUCCUCUAUUAUUACUACUGGUUAUCCUUUUUAUUCAUCAGAUAUGGCAGAGACCCGGGGCUUGCACUGCUCAGACAGAUUACAAAGAUGUAUGUUUUCAACAAAAUGCAAAGUCAGACGUUUAAGUUACAUUUUUCAGAACUGGGAAUUGCAGACUUGGAAAACAGUGCCUCCAGGAGAGAGUUGGGAAUCAUAUGGAUAUUCUGCUGAGUAUGAAGUAGACCAGGAGCAAAGCGGAGGGCUACUCCAUGGAAACAAGGAAAUGGUUCUAUCAAUGAGUGCAGAAUUGUUUUAGAGAGAGCAGAAGCCCCUGAAUAGAAAGAUUAUUGGUGGCGGAGGGCUUUUCACUUUAGCAAACACAGGUCUGAAAUGUCUGAAGGCCAUGAGAGGAAGAAAAAUCCAGACUUUAAAUCAGCACAGAGUGAAAGCAAUCAGUCAGGAGAAAAAAAAUAUUUAGCAGUAUGAUGGAAAUUCAAGAUGAGAUUGGAAGGUUUUAGAAAAGCUGUAUUUUGACUAAAGCUGAAGUUAAAAACUAUUCAAGAUACCAGAUAGGUCCCUUCUGACCUAAUGUGAAUUCAUUUCUUUGUGAGUCAAUCUGCAGAAGAUUUUUUGUAGACUUUUUGAUUUCUGGUAUCUACUUUCACCUUUGAAUUCCCAUGUAUUUCUUCUUGGCUUUUGUAUGGCUGAAAUGGAAAUAUUUUUCUUCAGUUAGCCAUCACAUCCAUCACAUCGACACUUUUCAUGAGAUCUCUUGGCUUGGAGAUGAUUAGUAAGUUUCAUAUGCCAUACCUUACCUAGAUGACUUUUCUGUUUAGAAAUCCAUUCUUUCAAUAAACUGCAAAGGACUUCUUUGAAGCUGUACAAGCUGACGAAGAGUCAGAUUUAUGGAAAGACUUUGAAAUGCUUCUUAGCUACGAGACAAGGACUUCUGCAUCAAGGACUUGGGUCCUGACUGAUGCUUACAGAACAGCAACUGAAAAAAUAUGUUUUUCCAAUGACUUCCUGUGAGGUGUAUGACUUCACUAUGAUGCUCAGAGAAAAUCUCACAUUAGAUGUCCUGUUUGCCCUGCUUGUCUCAAUACUGAAAACCUGUAGACAGGCACUGGGCAUACUCUUAAGAGGAAUUGCAAAUAAUCGCAUUCUGUUCCUGAAAUGAAGCUGGGAUCUUCAACUGUUCAUGAUUAAGUCCUUGCUUCAAAAACCUCUUGAUGUCAGUGAUCUUGCCAAACAUUGCUAAUUCUUCCUAUAUGGCAAAUUCUGCUGAGAAAACGGUGACCUGCAUUGGAAGUUGUAAAAUCCAUAGAUGUGAGUCAGGUUGUUUUAAGACUGGUGCAGCACAGAGAGGGCACUAAACUCAGGAUGACAUCUUACUUUUAGCAAGGAAUGCACUGAAGGGAUCUCUGCCAAUGCGUCAGUGCUACAAAGCAGGCUGCGUUGAUGACUCCCUUGCUGAAGGGACUUCAUCCACUCCAACACAUACUGAGGAGUGGAGUUGAGCUUCAGUUUAUUUCUGAAGCCAUUUACCCAAAACAAGUUUGGAAGGCAUUGGUCUUGUAUUUUGCUGUUACAGGUGAACACAAACUUGACAACACAGGAAGAGUAGUCUUUCUCUAAUUACUCAAACACAGGGAGAUUUAUCAUAUGAGGAGAAAGGGCAGCAUGGUACAGAAAAAGGGGCCAUAUUUAUUAUUAACAGAGUAAGCAAAUAAAGUAGAUAAAUCAGUAUGACCAAGAAAAAUAGUAAGCAUGUGUCUGAUUUCCAAUCUAUAAUAUCAGAUGAAACAUGAAAGUGCAACCCUUAAUUAUAAGCAAAUAUUAGCACAGACUCAUGGGAUCUCAUCAUAACAUCUCAAGGUCUACAUUCAUGAAAAUUUAAGCAAUGUUUAAAAUCAUGUUAAUUUGUUCUUUGUUUGUUUCUUUUCCUGCCAGUCUAAUUUAUUCCAAAAGACUUUGGUUCUCAAAUCUGGAUAUAUUGAUCAUGCCUAUGUAAAGCAUUGUUAUAGCCUGGGGAGAAGACUUUUGAGGAGAAAAAAUUGUCUUUGUUCUCGCUUGAUAAUUUAUAUGUAUUUUGAUGUUUGCAAGCAUUUCCAAUUCAGAAUCACUUUUCAAGCAGCAAGUUAACUUCACUUUUUCUCUUGAAGUCCUGGGCAAAUACAGAAAUGACCUCACACACAAUGACAAUAUACAUUCUCCUCCUGGACUGGCUGCUAAGUGGGUAAUUAUGUGCAGCAUGCUGAUUUCAAGGAAUAGUUACAUUUUCUUCUGUGCCAUACAAGCCUCUUCAAGAAAAGGACCCAAGGGGCUAGUGAUUCUGGUCCCACUCAUAUCAGUACUAAAUGAGAGUGACUGAGCAUCGCUUAUGCAGUAAAAAUGCUGUAACUGAAAUAGGCUUUGUGAUUUUAAUAAUUUCAGCUUUAUUUUUAAAGCAGAGAAAUUCACAAAGAGCACGUACUGCUGUCAGGCUACAAGUGUUCACACAAACACAUUUUUUGCUUCCUCAUUCUGAUGGUUCUCCACCAUUUGGACAAAUUUACAUCACACCUCAACUGCAAAAGGGGAGGAAAAUGAAAAACUUGCUGGAGAUGCAGAGUGAAUAAUCAGGUAGUCAUACUAAGCUAUACUCAGUCAGGAGCUCCAAUGAGCUCCUCUUGUGCCUGCCUGACUGCUGUACUUAAGCCACCCCUCACAGCACUAUCUUGCACACCCCUGUAUGAAACUACAUUGUGACUGUAGUAUGAGCAUGCAAAGGGAGACACCAGACCCUCAGCACAAGGUAUCUGCACACUGCCUGUAAAGUGCUACCUACUUUGAGUAUGUUAGAAACAAGGGCAGCAUAAUGGCUGUAAUAGCCUUCACAGAUCAAGUGCUGUAGAGUAAUCCAAUAGCUUCACAUGGGAAUAAUGAAGCUACGAGGUCUAUGCUGUACAUUAUAAAUAGUAAAUGUAUUAUAGUAGUUAAAAAAAAAACCAACAACAACAAAACAA